UAAUAAACAAUGUAUCAUCAUAAUAUAAUAUGUGUAGUGUUGCUUCUACGGAAUCCCGAUUAUUACGUUUCACAGAGAUAACAUUACAAUCUACGAUGUUAAUACCAUAUUACGCUAAUGAAUAAUGAUAACGACAGAUAAAAAUGUUGGAACAAAGUCCGUACCAUAAUCGAGUUUCAAAAUCGAAUUUUCAUUUGAAACUAGUCGAGUUGCGUUCUUGUGUUCCGUCAAUCAGUACGGAGCUGUCAGUCUCAAUUGUCAAACGUCAAAGCAAAAGCAGUGUUCUUGUUGACUUGUGUUUUGUAAGAAAGAAAGAAUUCAAUUCGAGAGAUAAUAAUUUGGUUGCAUAUUUUUUAUAACUGAGAUCGUUAAUAUUUAUUAUAAUGUCACGUGUUUAUGAGGACUUUUUUUGCUAUUAUACAAUUUCUAAUAAUGUGGUGGUGUCCAAAAGGGAUUACAGUGCUUUAUGGAGGUGAUAUUAAGAACAUUAAAUACUGAGAAUUGUGUGACUGGUAUGUAACGACACCCGAUUUAUGUGUCGAUCAAGUGUAUUAAGUGCAAUGCACGAUUUCACGAUAGUUUGUAGGUAAACAAAUGUAUAUUCAUAAAUACGAGAGGCAAUUCAAAACUAUUCAUAUACCAAAACCACACAUUCAGGUUUAUGUAUAAGAAAGCAUACGGGAGCCAGCUGUGGUAUUGCUGGUACUUCUUCAGCAGAUGUUGUCCGGCGAAGCUCCGGAUAAAUGAUGCGGGGAAGGUGACGGAGAGCAUAGGCCGGCAUAACCAUGACCCUCCGACCUGCUGGAUGACUCCUGAUGGCAAGUCAUACAACUUGCCACCGCUGCCCUGCAAGAACAACGACCGAAGAACACCAUAAGGCUACAGACGUUGCAACAAAAGGCAUGCGAUUUUAAAUAAUUGCUGUUUAAGUUGCAAGCAGCAGGCGUGGCUCACUCGGCGAUUUCGUCGCGUCGCUACAAGUACAUGCGGCUAACACCAGUUUUGGUGUCUAGCCAUAGUAGUUGCCGCGCACCGCUAGGGAACGGACGCCUGCUCGCACUUGCGCCACCUAGCGGUCAUAGCUGUCGUAAUAGACACGUUUUGUUAGAGAGUAAACCUUCUGUACCUAGUACUAUUCUUUAUUCUGUGGUAAGAGCAACGAUGCAGCAAUGUAUUUCAAAUCGCAUGCGAUUAUCGGUGACGUUUGGAGAGGCCUAAAACCUAAUAUCAUGUGAUGAAAACAUUGUUUUAUUUGUUUCACUGCCCUGUAAAUAUGAGAACAAAGUUUAUAUUAAGUAAGUAUAAUUAUGUUGAGAUUCUAUUUGCCUUUAUAUUUUUAUUGUUAUUAUGAAUUGUUUAACACUUUUAGAUUAAUUAGGGUUUAAGCAUGUCAUGUCCACAAAUUAUUCAAAGAAUGAGAUAUUUGUUAUUUAUACAUACAGAUUAUCUAAAUUGAUGUUUUAUAUGUACAUGUUUUAUUUUAUUUGCCAUAAAAAAUAUAAAAAUGUCUGGUUUUUAAUGCCCAGUGAGACUAAUAUCUCUCACAAAUGUAAUUUUUUUUAAGUAAUUGGUUAACUGGGCAAGGUUUGUGGCGUUUUUAAACAAACAAAAGGCUGCUGCUAUUAAUAACGAUUUUUAACUGUAGGUAAACUGAUAUUGUGGUACCUUUUGGCUUAGAAAAUGAUGUUAAAAUUAUCUUCAUGACAAGCAUAGGUAUAUUAUUUUAUGAAAAUUAUGACUUUGAUUCAGCAUAAAAAUACCUACGCUCAAGAGCAAUAAUAAGGGGUCACUUACGUUUAUAUUGCAUAAUUCAUUGCUCCUCAGUGUAACAAAUAUUUUUUUAUUAUAAAAAUAUUGCCUGUUUCUUCCAUAUACAAUUUAGCUUACAAAAUGAUUCAAACAAGUAACUUACGCGGUUAUCACCUGCGCCUGCGGCCCUCACGCCGCUAUGGUGUGUGAGCGAGACAGCGCUAUGCAAGCGAUGUCCCGCUCGCACAGUGGAGCGGCGUACGGGUCCACAUCUAAUGUGAAGACCGCCUUACCCCACGGAUCAUACAAGAAAAAAAAUCAAAAAUUUUCAAGUGUAAUUUGAACGUGUAAUACAGGAGCAAAAAGAGUUAGUUUUCUUUUGUUUACAAAAUGGAACGAAAGAGAACAAAUGCAAGUCACUCUAGUAAGCCUAGGUCAUGAAGGCUGGUGUUAAUUAGUUCACGGCAACAAUGGUGUCGGUUCUUUAUAACUAGUCCAGUAAACCUCGCACGAUACAAGGUGAGCAACUAGUUAUUGCUGAAAUUUGAAAUAUGGGAAAUAAGUUUAGAGUCACACGAGCCCGCUACCAAAAAGCCCCAUACAAUCGAAGUAAAGCUCUCAUUUUAAAACGACAUGUUUUUAUGGUACCUAUUAGACUAAAAUAUAACAAUUCCAUAUAUAGUCCCACGAGGUCUCAUAUAGAUGCUACAUUAGUAAUGAAGCAGUAUUGUUUAUAUAAGUCAUUAUUGUCAUAAAACUCGUAGUUUUUUACUUUAUAAAACACGUUUAUAACCAAAGGAGUGCCUUUGUAUCAAGAAAAAUCAAAUUUUCUCCUACCUAAACAAAUUGGAAAUGCAAAAAUACAGAUUUUCUAUGUAUGUACCAGUCUAAAGACAUGCAAUAGCAAUCGUCCUUUGUUAUUUAAGUAUUUGAUAAAAUACAGAAAUACAAGCGUGACAGAUUGUGUACAACCCGCAUUAUGAUAAUUCUGCUAAGGUAGAAAAUCAAAUAGGUAUACAUAAAUAUGUAGGUACUUUUCAAAGAACCAUGCGACAAAUGAAAAUGUCUGUCGUUUUCUGCGCAUUUUCGUAAGAUGCAUUAUUUAACAGAUAUAAAGUGAUGUUAAAAGUCAUGACAGCAUUUGUUAAGACUCGAGUUCCUCAAACAUGCAUUAUACAUAUUAUAUUAAGAGCAAAUGAAUACUAAUUUAAGUUUUAGUCAAUUACAUGCAAUACUGUAUAUAUCCUGCAAAGUUGCUUAUAGGUUUAGUUCGAACAGAGCUAAGAGCGGUUUCGCACUACGUCCGAUCCGAAUCCGAUCCGAACCCGUGAAAACAUGGUCCGUAGCAGCCGUAGAACUAUUUCUAUGGUAAGUUACGCACUAGAUCCGAUCUCCGUUAUUCGAUUUCUUUCCGUCAUUCAACGUGUGCGGUGCGAUAUUUUCACGGGUUCGGAUCGGACGUAGUGCGAAACCGCUCUAAGACUGCCUUUCCACUGAGGCAGAGAUGAGAGACCUGCGGGAAUUAUCCAAUUGGUUGUAAUCCAGCAGAGCGGAGAUGUGUGCCAGUGGCGUAGCUAGGCGUGGGCCGUCGCCUACGGCCUCGCGCCCCAAGGGGGGCCUCGCGCGAGGCCCCUUCGGGCACAUUAAAAGAAAAGGGCCUCGUAGAUGCGACUUCGCCCACGGCUAGAUAGUUCACGCUACGCAACUGAUGUGUGCAAUGCUAUUGGUUAAUACCCGCACGUCUCUCCGCCUCAGGCAGCCAGGGCGCCUAGCCAACAUGCCAAUCGUAUUCGCUCCGUAGCGAACGAAACCCCAAUGUCUCCAUCGCACCAAUAUGGUAGAGUGAUAAAGAGAGAUCGCUACACUACGGAGCGUAAACGAUUGACAUGUUGGCUAAGCACCUUAAGGUUCGAAAUGCAAUCGUCACGGAAAUCAAUCUGUAUAACGAGAAAAGCAUUAUUAUGUACACUGGGUACAUUCAGUUUACAACUUGUUACUUAAUAGUUUAUUUUUUAAAUAAUCCAAAAUCUUGCGUAGAUAGUUAACAAAUUUAUAACGUGCCUCUAGUAGGUAGAAUUUAGGAAAAUAAAAAAUUAUAUCGUGCCUUUCUAAAUUGUUUAUAUGUAUGUUUACCAAAUAUAAAACUAAACUGUGA
Molecule: long non-coding RNA, 3904 nt
Organism: Cydia splendana
Lineage: Eukaryota; Metazoa; Arthropoda; Insecta; Lepidoptera; Tortricidae
Exons: 2
Source: RefSeq, a predicted model, not a curated record